This 638-nucleotide long non-coding RNA is filed under the name Lathyrus oleraceus (garden pea). Its description in RNAcentral is "Pisum sativum (pea) long non-coding RNA (PSAT_LNC039985)". Lineage: Eukaryota; Viridiplantae; Streptophyta; Magnoliopsida; Fabales; Fabaceae. The record is from RNAcentral.
UUUUUCUUAGUAUAUUUCUAAUUUGUUUUUGUCUUUUAUUCCAUGUUUCUCUCAUGAUUCAUGUUCCUCAAUUCUAAUUUUUGUCUGCGGUAAGGUAAGGGUUACGAUUUAUAAUGUUUGUUUUUAGUUUGUAAGAGCUUGUUGUAUUUAGCUAAUGUGUAAAAUAAUAGUUGUAAUUUUUGUUUUGUAAGUAGGAUAUGGUACUAGUAGUUUGUCAAUAAAAAAAUAUGAAUAACUUAAAAGGUAGUAUUCUACUUAAAAGUUGUUCUAUUCUUGAAAUAUAAUUGUUUGCUCUUUAAAUAUACUUGUGUGAUGAAUUUUGUUAUAAUGAAUAGGGAGAGUGAGAAUGUGUUAGAGGUUUAAAUGAGAAUGAAUUAUGUUAUAUUGACAUGCUUAUAAAUGAGAGUGAAUUUUGUAUGUCUUUUAAGAUUUAUAUUUGAUUUGGAUAUUUAAUGAACAUAAGUCUUGAAGGGUCUAUCAAAUGUAUCUGUUAUCUUUAGAUUAGUGAAUGUUAUCUAGUGUUUUAGUGAUUUUAUUUUUUCAUCUGAUCUUAAAUGUUAUUUGGUUGUUGUCUCGUUAUAGUUCUCUUUGUUGUCUUGUCAUAUUACCUUAAAUGGUUUCGAUCUUGUUUAUAAUAU